AAGAGAGGCUGAUGAUGUCACACAAGAAGCUGGAGGAGUAUGAGCAGCGGCUGAUGUCACAGGAAGAGCAGACCAGUAAGAUCCUGAUGCAAUACCAGAACAGACUGGAGAACAGCGAGAGGAAAACUGAGGAUGCAACAGCAGGAAAAGGGACUCACAGAUCAAAGGAAUCAUCAGCAGGCUGAUGGCAGUGGAAGAUGAGAUCCGCAAAGACCACGUGCCGACCCCGCCCCGCAUGCUCGACGCUCAGGUUUCUGAACAGUGGAAACUCUCAUUCCCCCCCCCUGUAUGAUGACGAGAUACGGUGAUUUCCCUAGGCGAGGCGACCCUCGAUAAUACCUCAGCGCGCAGCGCCACGCCCACACAGGAUGAGCAGUUUCCCCCCCUGGGUUCUUCAAACGCCCGUCUGAUGAUGCUGGCGGCUCUGCAGGGUAAAGAGCGGAGUGGAUCGGGACUGGGAUCGGGAAUGGGAGGAGCCUCGUCUUCACAGGAGCCAUGGAAUGGG
Long non-coding RNA from Acipenser ruthenus (sterlet), 505 nucleotides. RefSeq lists it as uncharacterized. The transcript is spliced from 4 exons. Lineage: Eukaryota; Metazoa; Chordata; Actinopteri; Acipenseriformes; Acipenseridae. The record is from RefSeq and is a predicted model, not a curated record.